RNAcentral lists this ribosomal RNA (274 nucleotides) under uncultured bacterium. RNAcentral's name for it is "partial 16S ribosomal RNA". It matches the Rfam family "Bacterial small subunit ribosomal RNA", at positions 523 to 796 of the family's 1533-position model. The record is from RNAcentral.
AUACGGAGGGUGCAAGCGUUAAUCGGAAUUACUGGGCGUAAAGCGUACGUAGGCGGUUAUUUAAGUCAGAUGUGAAAGCCCCGGGCUUAACUUGGGAACUGCAUUUGAAACUGGGUAACUAGAGUUUAGUAGAGGGGAGUGGAAUUUCAGGUGUAGCGGUGAAAUGCGUAGAGAUCUGAAGGAACACCAGUGGCGAAGGCGACUCCCUGGACUAGAACUGACGCUGAGGUACGAAAGCGUGGGUAGCAAACAGGAUUAGAUACCCGAGUAGUCC